GUUGGUUCUACCCGAAGAUGGUGCGCUAACCGCAAGGAGGCAGCCAGCCACGGUAGGGUCAGCGACUGGGUUGAAGUCGUAACAAGGUAGCCGUAGGUGAACCUGCAGAAGGAUCA
This 116-nucleotide ribosomal RNA is filed under the name uncultured eukaryote. Its description in RNAcentral is "partial small subunit ribosomal RNA". It matches the Rfam family "Bacterial small subunit ribosomal RNA", at positions 1410 to 1525 of the family's 1533-position model. The record is from RNAcentral.